This 477-nucleotide ribosomal RNA is filed under the name uncultured bacterium. RNAcentral describes it as "partial 16S ribosomal RNA". It matches the Rfam family "Bacterial small subunit ribosomal RNA", at positions 30 to 507 of the family's 1533-position model. The record is from RNAcentral.
AUUGAACGCUGGCGGCAUGCCUUACACAUGCAAGUCGAACGGUAACAGGUUAAGCUGACGAGUGGCGAACGGGUGAGAAAUGUAUCGGAACGUGCCCAGUCGUGGGGGAUAACUGCUCGAAAGAGCAGCUAAUACCGCAUACGACCUGAGGGUGAAAGCGGGGGAUCGCAAGACCUCGCGCGAUUGGAGCGGCCGAUAUCAGAUUAGGUAGUUGGUGAGGUAAAGGCUCACCAAGCCGACGAUCUGUAGCUGGUCUGAGAGGACGACCAGCCACACUGGGACUGAGACACGGCCCAGACUCCUACGGGAGGCAGCAGUGGGGAAUUUUGGACAAUGGGCGCAAGCCUGAUCCAGCCAUGCCGCGUGCGGGAAGAAGGCCUUCGGGUUGUAAACCGCUUUUGUCAGGGAAGAAAAGGUUCUGGCUAAUACCUGGGACUCAUGACGGUACCUGAAGAAUAAGCACCGGCUAACUACGUG